GUGAGAAUCUACCUUCAGGUCGGGGAUAACCCCUGGAAACGGGGGCUAAUACCGGAUAGGUCGAAAGAUGAAAGGUUAACUGCCUGAAGAGGGGCUCGCGUCUGAUUAGCUAGUAGGUGUGGUAAGAGCGCACCUAGGCGACGAUCAGUAGCUGGUCUGAGAGGAUGAGCAGCCACACUGGGACUGAGACACGGCCCAGACUCCUACGGGAGGCAGCAGUGGGGAAUUUUCCGCAAUGGGCGAAAGCCUGACGGAGCAAGACCGCGUGGGGGAGGAAGGCCUUUGGGUUGUAAACCCCUUUUGUUAGGGAAGAAAAAAAUGACGGUACCUAACGAAUCAGCCUCGGCUAACUCCGUGCCAGCAGCCGCGGUAAUACGGAGGAGGCAAGCGUUAUCCGGAAUUAUUGGGCGUAAAGCGUCCGUAGGUGGCCCGGCAAGUCUGCUGUCAAAGACCACAGCUCAACUGUGGAAAGGCAGUGGAAACUGCAAGGCUAGAGUGCGGUAGGGGUAGAGGGAAUUCCCAGUGUAGCGGUGAAAUGCGUAGAGAUUGGGAAGAACACCGGUGGCGAAAGCGCUCUCCUGGGCCGCAACUGACAUUGAUGCACGAAGGCUUG
This 613-nucleotide ribosomal RNA is filed under the name Kamptonema animale WUC1774. Its description in RNAcentral is "bacterial SSU rRNA". It matches the Rfam family "Bacterial small subunit ribosomal RNA", at positions 117 to 763 of the family's 1533-position model. The record is from RNAcentral. Lineage: Bacteria; Bacillati; Cyanobacteriota; Cyanophyceae; Oscillatoriales; Microcoleaceae.